Choloepus hoffmanni (Hoffmann's two-fingered sloth) is the source of this 105-nucleotide small nuclear RNA. The record is from Ensembl. NCBI's taxonomy places the organism in Eukaryota, Metazoa, Chordata, Mammalia, Pilosa, Megalonychidae.
GUGCUCACUUUGGUAGCAGAUAUAUUAAAAUUGGAAUGAUGCAGAGAAUGUUAACAUGGCCCCUGCACAAGAAUGGCUACACAUUCUGAAGCAUUCCAUAAUUUU